RNAcentral lists this ribosomal RNA (477 nucleotides) under uncultured Planctomycetales bacterium. RNAcentral describes it as "bacterial SSU rRNA". It matches the Rfam family "Bacterial small subunit ribosomal RNA", at positions 365 to 832 of the family's 1533-position model. Lineage: Bacteria; Pseudomonadati; Planctomycetota; Planctomycetia; Planctomycetales. The record is from RNAcentral.
UUCGCAAUGCCCGAAAGGGUGACGAAGCGACGCCGCGUGUGGGAAGAAGGCCUUCGGGUUGUAAACCACUGUCGGGAGUUAAGAAAUGCAAGGAUAUUAAUAGUGUCUUUGUUUGACUAAGGCUCCGGAGGAAGCCACGGCUAACUCUGUGCCAGCAGCCGCGGUAAUACAGAGGCGGCAAGUGUUGUUCGGAAUUAUUGGGCGUAAAGAGCACGUAGGCGGCUAUGUAAGUCGGUUGUGAAAGCCUUCCGCUCAACGGAAGAACAGCAUCCGAUACUACAUGGCUUGAGUGCGGGAGGGGAGAGUGGAACUUCUGGUGGAGCGGUGAAAUGCGUAGAUACCAGAAGGAACGCCGGCGGCGAAAGCGGCUCUCUGGCCCAUAACUGACGCUGAGUGUGCGAAAGCUAGGGGAGCAAACGGGAUUAGAUACCCCGGUAGUCCUAGCCGUAAACGAUGGGCACUAAGUAGAGGGGUUUU